This 575-nucleotide non-coding RNA is filed under the name Homo sapiens (human). The record is from RNAcentral. Lineage: Eukaryota; Metazoa; Chordata; Mammalia; Primates; Hominidae.
ACAUUACCAGAAACAUCUUUACCAAAUUAUGCCACAAAUUUGAAAGACAAGAGUUCUUUAGUUUCAUCUCUCUAUAAAGUUAUCCAGGAGCCACAAAGUGAGUUGCUAGAACCUGUCUGUCACCAGCUCUUUGAAUUCUAUCGCAGUGGAGAGGAGCAGUUGCUUCAAUUUACGCUGCAAUUUCUCCCAGAACUAAUUUGGUGCUACCUUGCAGUCUCAGCCAGCAGAAAUGUGCAUAGCAGUGGAUGCAUUGAAGCUCUUCUUCUAGGGGUUUACAAUUUGGAAAUAGUUGACAAACAGGGACAUACCAAAGUAUUGAGUUUUACGAUUCCAUCUUUAUCCAAACCAUCUGUAUACCAUGAACCUUCCAGCAUUGGGUCCAUGGCUCUGACUGAGAGUGCACUAUCCCAGCAUGGUUUGUCAAAAGUGGUAUACAGUGGACCUCAUCCUCAAAGGGAGAUGCUGACAGCACAGAAUCGGUUUGAAGUGUUGACAUUCCUUUUGUUGUGUUACAAUGCUGCCUUAACUUACAUGCCCAGUGUUUCUCUUCAGUCACUGUGUCAAAUUUGUUCAAG